AUGCUCGACGACUCAGAUCAUAAAUCAUAUGAUUUUGAAGUAGGUAUUGACCCUGAAAGGAAUGUGCUUAAUACAAUUAAUGUCACAUGUGAAUAUUAUACAGAGGAGCAAUUCAGGGAUACGGUUGAAAUAGUUAAUACAUUUUCAUUAAUUCAUAUUAAUUGCAGAAGUCUUUAUAGAAGUUUUGCUUCGAUUAAAGAUUUUCUGUAUAGUUUGAGAGGCAGGUUUCAAAUAAUUGCUCUGUCUGAAACAUGGUUAGAUGAGAAGAGGGGUUGUCAUUUUUAUAUCGAAGGGUACGAUUUAUACUUUGUAAAUAGAAUUAAGAAAAAGGCAGGAGGGGUGGCACUUUUUGUUAAUUGUGAUUUGAAAUGUAAAAAAGUUGAAUGUAUGUCUGUGGUUAUAGACGAUUUAAUGGAGUCUGUGACAGUGGAAUUGGACAUAGAAAGAAGAAGGAAUAUAAUUGUAACGUGUAUAUAUAGGAAACCGGGGUCACAGAUUGAGUUAUUUACAGAGGCAGUAGAAGACUUAUUGCGUAAGGCUAAGGGAAAUAAGACUUUAUGUUUGUGUGGUGAUUACAAUAUUGAUCUUUGUAAAGAGGCAAAUGAUAAGGCUGCGUCAGAUUUUUUUGAAUUAUUACUUGGUAAAGGAUUUUAUCCUUUAAUUAUGAAGCCGAGUAGAAUAACGGAUAAAUCAGAAACAUUAAUUGAUCAUAUUUUCAUUAAUAGCUUGGACAGUAAUAUUAUGAGUGGCCUCAUCAUAAAUGAUAUAAGCAGUCAUCUACCAGUCUUUUUUACUUUUGAUUUAAAUAUGAAAAGAAAUGAAGAAGUUGGUUUCGUGAGUCAUAGAAGGUUAAGAAAUAACGAGGCAAUUAACAAGUUUAGACAAGAUCUCAUGGAAGUGGACUGGAAGGAAGUCUAUGUUAAUGAGGUCAACGUUGCAUAUGGAGCUUUUUUAAAUACUUACUUGGCCUUGUAUGAUAAACAUUGUCCAUUGGUAUCAUUUAAGUAUAAGAAAAAGAAUAAGAAUAUGAAACGUUGA
Molecule: long non-coding RNA, 1038 nt
Filed under: Oreochromis niloticus (Nile tilapia)
Lineage: Eukaryota; Metazoa; Chordata; Actinopteri; Cichliformes; Cichlidae
Description: lncRNA (ENSONIG00000036698.1)
Source: RNAcentral